CGCUGGCGGCAGGCCUAACACAUGCAAGUCGAGCGGAUGAAGGGAGCUUGCUCCCUGAUUCAGCGGCGGACGGGUGAGUAAUGCCUAGGAAUCUGCCUGGUAGUGGGGGACAACGUCUCGAAAGGGACGCUAAUACCGCAUACGUCCUACGGGAGAAAGCAGGGGACCUUCGGGCCUUGCGCUAUCAGAUGAGCCUAGGUCGGAUUAGCUAGUUGGUGAGGUAAUGGCUCACCAAGGCGACGAUCCGUAACUGGUCUGAGAGGAUGAUCAGUCACACUGGAACUGAGACACGGUCCAGACUCCUACGGGAGGCAGCAGUGGGGAAUAUUGGACAAUGGGCGAAAGCCUGAUCCAGCCAUGCCGCGUGUGUGAAGAAGGUCUUCGGAUUGUAAAGCACUUUAAGUUGGGAGGAAGGGCAUUAACCUAAUACGUUGGUGUUUUGACGUUACCGACAGAAUAAGCACCGGCUAACUCUGUGCCAGCAGCCCGCGGUAAUACAGAGGGUGCAAGCGUUAAUCGGAUUACUGGGCGUAAAGCGCGCGUAGGUGGUUUGUAAGUUGGAUGUGAAAUCCCGGCUCAACCUGGGACU
Molecule: ribosomal RNA, 589 nt
Filed under: Pseudomonas sp. Z1S-16
Lineage: Bacteria; Pseudomonadati; Pseudomonadota; Gammaproteobacteria; Pseudomonadales; Pseudomonadaceae
Description: bacterial SSU rRNA
Rfam family: Bacterial small subunit ribosomal RNA
Source: RNAcentral